CAGAGACGGCGAGCUUGAGCGGGGAGUUCUUUGUCCUGAGUGAGCAGGAGAGAGCCAUCGGAGGUUACAGCUAUAGAUCACUGGUUCUGAGUGAUUAGGAGAGUGUGGGACUCAGCUCACUUGGACUCAGUCCAACUACAAUGUGCAGUUUGGGGGAUGAAGACCUUCACAGAUGCUUUGAGUAAUUCUACUCCAACAUACCAUCCAGGAGAACAAGUAUAGCUGUCCACCUGAGAUCUGCGCCUCCACCUGCCCUGUAAGAAGCAGAGUCCCCGCUACAUUCCUCUGUUUCCAAUACAGAGGCAGAUCUAUGAGGUCACCUACGAACUCUAACUCCCAUUCAGCAGCAUUCUAGAUUGUUCUUGCUGCUAGCCAACACCAUCAGCUACCUGGAUGAUGCGCUCUGUGUACCGUCAUCAGAAGAUGAUCCUGGAAAGUAUUUUGCCAUCUUUUGUGGAGUAGACACUGGCAAAGCACAGUGCAACUCCGGACCUAGAGCACAGUACAUCAUCUCCCCACUGUGCAGAGCUAAAGCCCGAGCCCACCAAUGACGGAGAGCUCAUUCCCGCUGCUAUCAAGGAGCAAGCACAGUGCUGAGCGACUGAGUGGAGGAUCGCCCCGGAAGCAGAGACCAACCAAUCAGACCAGAAGCGUGAGCUGGCUACAACGCCCAUUGUGAUAGAUAAAGCCACAGACAGUGUGGAGUGGAGCUUAGCCCCUGAUUAUGUUCUGAUUGGGUUUAUGUUCCAUUGAUGUCUCUUGAUGAUGAUUAAAUGAUGA
Long non-coding RNA from Carassius gibelio (silver crucian carp), 780 nucleotides. RefSeq lists it as uncharacterized. The transcript is spliced from 3 exons. The record is from RefSeq and is a predicted model, not a curated record. NCBI's taxonomy places the organism in Eukaryota, Metazoa, Chordata, Actinopteri, Cypriniformes, Cyprinidae.